This 315-nucleotide ribosomal RNA is filed under the name uncultured eukaryote. RNAcentral's name for it is "partial 18S ribosomal RNA". It matches the Rfam family "Eukaryotic small subunit ribosomal RNA", at positions 1470 to 1796 of the family's 1831-position model. The record is from RNAcentral.
CCCUUAGGCGUUCUGGGCCGCACGCGCGCUACACUGACCAGUGCAACAAGCAUCCGUCCUUGGCCGACAGGCCCGGGCAAUCUUUGAACGCUGGUCGUGAUGGGGAUAGACUUUUGCAAUUUUUGGUCUUCAACGAGGAAUUCCUAGUAAACGCAAGUCAUCAACUUGCAUUGAUUACGUCCCUGCCCUUUGUACACACCGCCCGUCGCACCUACCGAUUGAAUGGUCCGGUGAAGCCUCCGGAUUGGCGCGCACCUCGGUGCCGCCGAGAAGUUGGCUAAACCUUACCAUUUAGAGGAAGGUGAAGUCGUANCA